RNAcentral lists this ribosomal RNA (374 nucleotides) under uncultured bacterium. Its description in RNAcentral is "bacterial SSU rRNA". It matches the Rfam family "Bacterial small subunit ribosomal RNA", at positions 524 to 898 of the family's 1533-position model. The record is from RNAcentral.
UACGUAAGGAGCGAGCGUUGUUCGGAAUUAUUGGGCGUAAAGGGCGCGUAGGCGGUUAAAUAAGUCUGUAACUAAAGACCUAGGCUUAACUUAGGGAAAGUUAUGGAAACUAUUUAACUAGAAUCCUUCAGGGGAAACUGGAAUUCCUGGUGUAGGGGUGGAAUCUGUUGAGAUCAGGAAGAACACCAAAGGCGAAAGCAAGUUUCUGGGGAGUGAUUGACGCUGAGGCGCGAAAGUGUAGGGAGCAAACAGGAUUAGAUACCCUGGUAGUCUACACCGUAAACUAUGUACACUAGGUAUUGGAUUGUCGAUGAUUCAGUACUCAAGCUAACGCGAUAAGUGUACCGCCUGGGGAGUAUGCCGGCAACGGUGAA